Molecule: ribosomal RNA, 301 nt
Filed under: uncultured bacterium
Lineage: Bacteria
Description: bacterial SSU rRNA
Rfam family: Bacterial small subunit ribosomal RNA
Source: RNAcentral
AAAGCUCGGGAUAACAGUGGGAAACCGCUGCUAAUACCGGAUGACUUUAACCUAUGGCAUCAUGGGUUGAAGAAAGAUUUAUCGCUUUAGGAUGGGCCCGCGUCCCAUUAGCUAGUUGGUGAGGUAACGGCUCACCAAGGCGACGAUGGGUAGCCGGCCUGAGAGGGUGAACGGCCACACUGGGACUGAGACACGGCCCAGACUCCUACGGGAGGCAGCAGUAGGGAAUAUUGCGCAAUGGAGGGAACUCUGACGCAGCGACGCCGCGUGAGCGAUGAAGGUUUUCGGAUCGUAAAGCUCU